This 92-nucleotide non-coding RNA is filed under the name Pseudomonas fluorescens. Lineage: Bacteria; Pseudomonadati; Pseudomonadota; Gammaproteobacteria; Pseudomonadales; Pseudomonadaceae. RNAcentral also lists the same sequence under 1 other name. The record is from RNAcentral.
CUUGAUGGCGGCUGUGCGCAUGGCGCCUUCGGGCGCGCCGGGUUUCCGUUGUCCUUUACCGGUCUACUAACUUGCGCACAGCUGCCACCCCU